CGGGGCGUAGCGCAGCCUGGUAGCGUACUUGGAUGGGGUCCAAGGGGUCGAGUGUUCGAAUCACUCCGUCCCGACCA
This 77-nucleotide transfer RNA is filed under the name Glaciimonas sp. PCH181. RNAcentral's name for it is "tRNA-Pro". It matches the Rfam family "tRNA". From Rfam's summary of the family: Transfer RNA (tRNA) molecules are approximately 80 nucleotides in length. The record is from RNAcentral. RNAcentral also lists the same sequence under 6 other names. Lineage: Bacteria; Pseudomonadati; Pseudomonadota; Betaproteobacteria; Burkholderiales; Oxalobacteraceae.